GCCGGGUGUGGUGGCUCACACCUGUAAUCCUAGCACUUUGGGAGGCCGAGGCGGGUGGAUCACCUGAGGCCGGGACUUCAAGACCAGCCUGGCCAACAUGGUGAAACCCUGUCUCUG
RNAcentral lists this non-coding RNA (117 nucleotides) under Gorilla gorilla gorilla (western lowland gorilla). The record is from Rfam by way of RNAcentral. Lineage: Eukaryota; Metazoa; Chordata; Mammalia; Primates; Hominidae.